Molecule: unclassified non-coding RNA, 337 nt
Filed under: soil metagenome
Description: partial contains 5.8S ribosomal RNA, internal transcribed spacer 2, and large subunit ribosomal RNA
Rfam family: 5.8S ribosomal RNA (bases 1-120)
Source: RNAcentral
GAUGAAGAACGUAGCGAAAUGCGAUAAGUAAUGCGAAUUGCAGAUUUCAGUGAGUCAUCGAAUCUUUGAACGCACAUUGCGCCCGCCAGUAUUCUGGCGGGCAUGCCUGUUCGAGCGUCAUUUCAACCAUCAAGCCCCCGGGCUUGCGUUGGGGCCCUGCGGCUGCCGCAGGCCCCGAAAAGCAGUGGCGGGCUCGCUGUCACACCGAGCGCAGUAGCGAUUCUCGCUCCGGGCGUCGGCGGCGGGCACCGGCCGUUAAAAAGCCUUAUUUACCCAAGGUUGACCUCGGAUCAGGUAGGAAGACCCGCUGAACUUAAGCAUAUCAAUAAGCGGAGGA